AUACAAAACCAACGCCCUUCGGGGCUCCUUGGUGAAUCAUAAUAACUUAACGAAUCGCAUGGCCUUGCGCCGGCGAUGGUUCAUUCAAAUUUCUGCCCUAUCAACUUUCGAUGGUAGGAUAGUGGCCUACCAUGGUGG
This 138-nucleotide ribosomal RNA is filed under the name uncultured eukaryote. Its description in RNAcentral is "partial 18S ribosomal RNA". It matches the Rfam family "Eukaryotic small subunit ribosomal RNA", at positions 214 to 352 of the family's 1831-position model. The record is from RNAcentral.